This 440-nucleotide ribosomal RNA is filed under the name uncultured bacterium. RNAcentral's name for it is "partial 16S ribosomal RNA". It matches the Rfam family "Bacterial small subunit ribosomal RNA", at positions 338 to 795 of the family's 1533-position model. The record is from RNAcentral.
CCUACGGGAGGCAGCAGUGGGGAAUAUUGCACAAUGGGGGAAACCCUGAUGCAGCAACGCCGCGUGAGUGAUGACGGCCUUCGGGUUGUAAAGCUCUGUCUUCAGGGACGAGAAUGACGGUACCUGAGGAGGAAGCCACGGCUAACUACGUGCCAGCAGCCGCGGUAAUACGUAGGUGGCGAGCGUUGUCCGGAUUUACUGGGCGUAAAGGGAGCGUAGGCUGACUUUUAAGUGAGAUGUGAAAUACUCGGGCUCAACUUGAGUGCUGCAUUUCAAACUGGAAGUCUAGAGUGCAGGAGAGGAGACUGGCAUUCCUCUUGUAGCGGUGAACUGCGUAGAGAUUAGGAAGAACCCCAGUGGCGACGGCGCUUCUCUGGACUGUACCUGACGCUGAGGCUCGCAAGCGUGGGGAGCAAACAGGAUUAGCUACCCCUGUAGUC